AUUGAACGCUGGCGGCGUGCCUAACACAUGCAAGUCGAGCGGUAACAGGUGUAGCAAUACAUGCUGACGAGCGGCGAACGGGUGAGUAAUGCUUCGGAAUCUGCCCAUGUAGUGGGGAAUAACCAGCCGAAAGGUUGGCUAAUACCGCAUACGACCUACGGGUGAAAGCAGGGGAUCGCAAGACCUUGCGCUAUUGGAUGAGCCGAAGUCGGAUUAGCUAGUUGGUAGGGUAACGGCCUACCAAGGCGACGAUCCGUAGCUGGUCUGAGAGGACGACCAGCCACACUGGGACUGAGACACGGCCCAGACUCCUACGGGAGGCAGCAGUGGGGAAUAUUGGACAAUGGGGGCAACCCUGAUCCAGCGACGCCGCGUGUGUGAAGAAGGCCUGC
Molecule: ribosomal RNA, 392 nt
Filed under: uncultured bacterium
Lineage: Bacteria
Description: bacterial SSU rRNA
Rfam family: Bacterial small subunit ribosomal RNA
Source: RNAcentral